This is a long non-coding RNA of Heterocephalus glaber (naked mole-rat), 2074 nucleotides long. RefSeq lists it as uncharacterized. The record is from RefSeq and is a predicted model, not a curated record. NCBI's taxonomy places the organism in Eukaryota, Metazoa, Chordata, Mammalia, Rodentia, Bathyergidae.
UAGGCAAGAGAACUAGGCAACCAAAUGAUUUUUCCCUAGAAUUAUGUAGCAUUGCUCCCAACAAAAGGAUAAAAGAGAGAAGCAAGCUGCUGUUGAUUCAUUACUUCACUGCUUGCUGGCUUGCUUCCUUGUUAUCUUCUGCCUGCCAUGAACUGUUUCUCCUCUGCGAUGCCCCUCUGUCAUGUCACCCUGCCUUGGAACCAGCCAAUUAUGAACUGAAACCUCUACAAACUAAUGAUGAUGUGUAUGUUCUGUGCAUUCAUCAGUAUUCCUUGAAAAACAGAACUCAGCCUUUAUACUACAGAAAUAUCCUACAGAUGCCGCACUGACAUCAUGGGCUGGAUGGAAAUUACCUUCAAUACACACGUCUCUUCAUAGAAAUCCAAAUUCUUUGGUUCGGUGUGUGUGUUGGAUGGGAGGAGUUGCAGAUAUCGAAGACUUGUAUCAUCCAUAGCCGAGGUUGGUGGACUGGCUCAGGUUAGAGGGAAGCUCACUGUACUGUUUGCUUUUUUUCCCCUAGUCCUCAUGUAUUAAUGUUGCUCUUCUAUUUGAAAAUUUUUUGGCUCCCAUAUUUAGAUACUAAAGUCUUUAUCUUUUUCUUUGCCCAGAGCCUGUUAUAAAAUAUAUUAUUCUAACUUACACCCUAUUUAGUCUUUUGAUAUGACUCAAAGGGAGACUUCUCAGUAGCACCCUCUCACAUACAUGAAAAAAGGAAACUGGUACCUCAGCAGACAACAAGCAGUGCUCUUCGACCAUCUUGUCUACAAUACAAUGUUUUAAAUUUUUUCUCUAUUCAUUAUUCAACAAAGAUUAGCAAGACCUUUAGAAGUCAGUAUGUCAAUGAGAAGUGUCUGCAACUUGGUCAUUUAUUCAUAUUUAGCCUGUGUAGUGUUUGCCACUCUUCCUCUAGCCUCUGCCUCCAAUUCCAGGUCACCAGGAAAGUUAACAGCUUUUUAUACUAUUACAAGCAAGUACUCAUAGAACUAAUUGCCUUCAGGGUUCUAAAUAGAAUGUUUACUGUGUAGCUGUUUGGAUCUGCCAAGAUAACUUAGACACUUCCUUAUAGUAACUCUGAGAGACCGUGUAUUGUCAGCCAGGUAGAUGACCAAGCCUCUUCACACCGAUUUCUAAGGUAAUCAUUGCAUACUUCACCCACACUUUGGAUCAUUGUGUUCCAAAUGAUGGUGUUUAUAUCUAUGGUCCUCUUCAUGACCAAAAAAAAAAAAUGGAGAUUUUUAAAUUCAUAAUCAAAACACUGUGAUCCUCAGGCAAAAGGAGCCACAGAUUUACCGAUGAUUCACUGUUGUCAGUCUGACAUGAGGCAAAAUCUUUCUUUUUGCACAGGAUAACUUGAUUUAUAAGUUUAGUAUAAAUCUCUGAACAUCUCAUACAGGCAGGAAACAGGCAUUUAUGUAUUCAUCACAGAAACAAAUGCCUUAGUUACAGAGUAAGAAGGCCUCCAACCUCAUCUUCUUUUCUGACUUAUAAUUAGGAAAUAAUAUAAAAUAUAUAUCUGUCCCUGAAGAGGCCUCCUCUUUUGUACCCUGUUACAUUUUUUCCAACUGUCCUCCCCACUUCCAUUCCAUGAUCCUUCCCAACUGUUCUUGCUAUUCCUCUUUGGAAUACCUGGACUCUCUUUUUAGACUUCCAUUAAGUCUAAAUCAUCAAAGUGACAAUGCACUAUCUCUGAGGUUCAUAUAAUUGCUCUGUAAAAUUGAAAUGAAAGUUGAACUAGGAAUGAUCUAUUAAUUGCCACAUUCAACCAACUGGAAAUUCUUUCUAAAAAUAAGCUAUUUUUUAUGUAUGUGAUCUCAUAGAGUAAGUCAGAGUUUUCUUCCAGAAUUAAUAAACCUAUAUGUUUGAUUAAAGUCUAAUAUAACAUGAUUAUUUUCUCUGAGGGCUCAGAUGAAGUAUUUUAUAUAACCGAGCGAUUCUUAUUGUUCUUUGAAGUCCUAUGUUAUAGGAAGCAUUUAAAUUGUGACAGUGUUUAAAACAGUAUUUGUGUUUUAGUUGUACUGGAAAUAAUAUAUUGAUUUAUCAAACUAGAGAUAAUCAUGAAGAGGGCAAGAAUCUA